Molecule: ribosomal RNA, 179 nt
Filed under: uncultured Geobacter sp.
Lineage: Bacteria; Pseudomonadati; Thermodesulfobacteriota; Desulfuromonadia; Geobacterales; Geobacteraceae
Description: partial 16S ribosomal RNA
Rfam family: Bacterial small subunit ribosomal RNA
Source: RNAcentral
UGACCAGGGCUACACACGUGCUACAAUGGCCGGUACAAAGAGUUGCAAUACCGCGAGGUGGAGCUAAUCUCAUAAAGCCGGUCUCAGUUCGGAUUGGAGUCUGCAACUCGACUCCCAUGAAGUUGGAAUCGCUAGUAAUCGCGGAUCAGCACGCCGCGGUGAAUACGUUCCCGGGCCUU